This 254-nucleotide ribosomal RNA is filed under the name uncultured bacterium. Its description in RNAcentral is "partial 16S ribosomal RNA". It matches the Rfam family "Bacterial small subunit ribosomal RNA", at positions 524 to 776 of the family's 1533-position model. The record is from RNAcentral.
CACGUAGGGUGCGAGCGUUGUCCGGAAUUAUUGGGCGUAAAGAGCUCGUAGGCGGUGUGUCGCGUCGGCCGUGAAAACCUGCAGCUUAACUCUGGGCGUGCGGUCGAUACGGGCAUCACUAGAGUUCGGCAGGGGAGACUGGAAUUCCUGGUGUAGCGGUGGAAUGCGCAGAUAUCAGGAGGAACAUCGAUAGCGAAGGCAGCUCGCUGGGACGGUACUGACGCUAAGGCGCGAAAGCGUGGGGAGCAAACAGG